CCCUUAGAUGUUCUGGGCCGCACGCGCGCUGCACUGAUGCAUUCAACGAGUCUAAAACCUGCUCUGAUAGGGGUGGGUAAUCUUUUGAAUGUGCAUCGUGAUUGGGAUAGAUGAUUGCAAUUUUUCAUCUUCAACGAGGAAUGCCUAGUAAACGCAAGUCAUCAGCUUGCAUUGACUACGUCCCUGCCCUUUGUACACACCGCCCGUCGCUCCUACCGAUUGAAUGAUCCGAUGAAUAUCAUGGAUUGAGGAUUAUAGCAGGUUCGCCUGUCUUGAUCUUCGAGAAGUGAAGUAAAUCUUAUCAUUUAGAGGAAGGAGAAGUCGUAACA
This 329-nucleotide ribosomal RNA is filed under the name uncultured eukaryote. Its description in RNAcentral is "partial 18S ribosomal RNA". It matches the Rfam family "Eukaryotic small subunit ribosomal RNA", at positions 1470 to 1796 of the family's 1831-position model. The record is from RNAcentral.